CAGUCAUACCAACGGGAAAUCAACCUUUUGAGCUUGGUCUCGUGGGUUUUGAAGAGUUUCAAAGCCUUCGGAUUCGCGGGAUUGGGAUCUCUCGGUGUACUUUUUCGUACGGUUAGUCAACAUCGGUUUUGAAUGUCAUAAAAUGAUUGGGGGAAUGUAGCUUCGAUCUCGUAUUGAAGUGUUAUAGCCUUUGGUAGAUGUGAUGUUUGAGACCCGAGGAUUGCAACGGACUACCCUUCAGGGCUAUUCGUCUGAUCUCUGAUACG
RNAcentral lists this ribosomal RNA (266 nucleotides) under Funneliformis mosseae. Lineage: Eukaryota; Fungi; Glomeromycota; Glomeromycetes; Glomerales; Glomeraceae. The record is from RNAcentral.